GGGCCACCAGGUCUGCAAGGUUUCGAAGGAGAGAAAGUAAGUUAAUUAUUUUUUAAAGCUGUGCAUAUAAUAAUAUGUUCACAGUAUAGGGGAUUUUUCUUAGCAUUAAAUAUAAUUUUUAUGUGCGUAGGGUGAUCAGGGUUUACAGGGAGACCCAGGUGUGGAUGGGGCAGCUGGACCCACAGGACCUCAAGGAGAACCAGGCAGGAAUGGCCUUAAUGGAAUAAAAGGAGAAAAGGGAGACGCGUGUGACAGCUGUCCAUCACUCCCUGAAGGAAAUUACAAUGUUGCUGGCUUACCAGGGCCCAAGGGAGAGAGAGGAGAGCCAGGUUUGCCAGGGGAGGGCAGAGCAGGCAAACAGGGUCGGCCAGGCCCACCUGGUGUCCAGGGACCUCCAGGGCUCAAAGGCAGUCAGGGUGAUGCUGGGCUUCCAGGUAUUGGCCUUCCAGGACUGCAGGGUGAGCAGGGACCUAGAGGUUUUCCCGGAGCUGCUGGUCCAGAAGGACGUCUGGGACCUGCAGGGCCGAUUGGACCAGCAGGACAAAGGGGUCCAAAGGGAGAAAUGGGACCACCAGGGCCACAGGGGCCAAUGGAAAUGGGACCAAUCGGACCCCCGGGUAGGGAUGGAACACAAGGAUUUCCUGGAAUACCAGGGCAGGAUGGGAGUCCUGUAAGUUUGUUUGUUUGUUUAAUCCUCUCCAGCAAUUCUUUGCUUAACUCCUCUUGCUUAUUCCCAUAUUGUGACACACGCUCUGUGAUUAACACAUUCACCAAGCAUAUUGUCCGUUGUUCAUUACUCUGCCAUCUAGAGACGGCAUCAAACGAACUUCCAUAA
Molecule: long non-coding RNA, 835 nt
Filed under: Sinocyclocheilus grahami
Lineage: Eukaryota; Metazoa; Chordata; Actinopteri; Cypriniformes; Cyprinidae
Description: lncRNA (ENSSGRG00000039200.1)
Source: RNAcentral